GUCAUUUGUGGAGUCUAAAUGCAUGAAGUCCACUACCUCAACUAUACACAGAUUGGAGAUUUGCCUGUAUCUUAUCCAAAAGUGACAAUGCAUGGGAGGAAAAUGCCUCUGUUCCCUGACUUGACCAAGAACCGGAGAACUAGUAAAUGGAUUACAUUGGACACAAAACAAGUAUAGUUCUAUUGACUGGAGAGGACGCAACUCUUAUACUGUUUAUAACUGUCACCUUUAUAUCAACUGCAUAUCAUGGUUGUGUGGGGAGAGGGACAAGAACUGAAAGAACAACCCGUGGCAUUUUAUGGAAGUUACUGCUGAGACACUCGAUACCCCUCCAUUCUUUACUGGCUCCACUCCUCUUGAUUCCAUCUCUCAUGGACAUGUCACACAGACACUUGGUAUGUGUUAAAUCAGCACAAUGUCAUGGAGCCUUCAAGUUGCAGCAUGUUCUGAGUAGAUGCAUGGUGAUGUUUACUAGGAACCCUAAUAUGCACAGCUUGCACUCUGCUGCUAGAGGGUUGGUGAGCAGGCAUUCCAACAUACUGGGCCGGUAAGGCUUUUUUUUCUGUUUUCAACAGCAGCCAAAAACAACUGAGUACAGACAAAAGCGCCGACUGGCCUACUGUCUCACUGAGGAAACAAAUUCCAAUCCCUCCUCAAAGCUAGAUGGGAUUGCAUCUCCACUGACUUUCUGUAGCUGACGAGUGGUGGAAAUCAAGCAAAUCCUUUCCCAGGCCGCUGUAAUCCACAGGCACUCCAUGCUUUGACAGUGCAAGCUCCUGGCCCCAGCAAGGUGAUGCUUUGGUGGGGAUCGUGAUGCUGCCAUGGGUAUCAUGCUGGACCACUUGCAGUAGCCGCAACAUGAUACUGCAGAAGCUGGGGCACUGCACUGGAUGCCACCUCAUUGCUGUUGUGCACUACUGGUGUGCUUGGGCUGGUGGAAGCAGUUCAUGCUUGGAACCUGCGGGUCCAGGGUCCCUCAUCCAUGGAACUUUGUGCUGAGCUGCCUUUCCUGGUCCAGUGCUAGGACAUUAGGCUUCAGUGUUCCUUGUCCACCAAGAGAUGCAUGGCCCUGGCCAUUCGGAAGUUGGUGAACACCAACUUUGGACCAUGUUAGAAGACAACGUUGAUGACGGCCUUGAAUGAAGUAUGUGACGUACCAUAUUUGAGGAGAUGAGGUCUUGAUUCAUCCAAUUUGGGGAUCCACAAGAGAGUGCUUUGAACCUGCUGCCACUACAACCCCAAGCUGUGAGGCAGACUUGGAAUCCUGAAGGAUGAUGACUUUCACUUUGCUCGGUAUCCCUGGAGUGAUGGAGGCAGCUACUGUGUGGGACCCAAAAGACUGCCACUAGCCACUGGGUGGUGGGGAUGUGAGGUGGUUUGGGGUUACAGUCUAUUCUACAUGCCCCUUCCUCUCAGGGCUUUACCCCCUCAACCUCUCUGUUUGCACUCAGAUGAACCUAA
This is a long non-coding RNA of Alligator sinensis (Chinese alligator), 1461 nucleotides long. RefSeq lists it as uncharacterized. NCBI's taxonomy places the organism in Eukaryota, Metazoa, Chordata, Crocodylia, Alligatoridae. The record is from RefSeq and is a predicted model, not a curated record. The transcript is spliced from 4 exons.